This 420-nucleotide ribosomal RNA is filed under the name bacterium. Its description in RNAcentral is "partial 16S ribosomal RNA". It matches the Rfam family "Bacterial small subunit ribosomal RNA", at positions 355 to 776 of the family's 1533-position model. The record is from RNAcentral.
UGGGGGAUAUUGCACAAUGGGCGAAAGCCUGAUGCAGCGACGCCGCGUGGGGGAUGAAGGCUUUCGGGUUGUAAACCUCUUUCGCUAUCGAACAAGGCCCGCUUAGGGUGGGUUGAGGGUAGGUGGAGAAGAAGCGCCGGCUAACUACGUGCCAGCAGCCGCGGUAAUACGUAGGGCGCGAGCGUUGUCCGGAAUUAUUGGGCGUCAAGGGCUUGUAGGCGGCUUGUUGCGCCUGCUGUGAAAACGCGGGGCUUAACUUCGCGCGUGCAGUGGGUACGGGCAGGCUUGAGUGUGGUAGGGGUGACUGGAAUUCCAGGUGUAGCGGUGGAAUGCGCAGAUAUCUGGAGGAACACCGAUGGCGAAGGCAGGUCACUGGGCCAUUACUGACGCUGAGGAGCGAAAGCAUGGGUAGCGAACAGG